GAUGAACGCUGGCGGCGUGCCUAACACAUGCAAGUCGAGCGAAGCGCUGUUUUCAGAAUCUUCGGAGGAAGAGGACAGUGACUGAGCGGCGGACGGGUGAGUAACGCGUGGGCAACCUGCCUCAUACAGGGGGAUAACAGUUAGGAAUGACUGCUAAUACCGCAUAAGCGCACAGGACCGCAUGGUGUAGUGUGAAAAACUCCGGUGGUAUGAGAUGGACCCGCGUCUGAUUAGGUAGUUGGUGGGGUAAAGGCCUACCAAGCCGACGAUCAGUAGCCGACCUGAGAGGGUGACCGGCCACAUUGGGACUGAGACACGGCCCAAACUCCUACGGGAGGCAGCAGUGGGGAAUAUUGCACAAUGGGGGAAACCCUGAUGCAGCGACGCCGCGUGAAGGAAGAAGUAUUUCGGUAUGUAAACUUCUAUCAGCAGGGAAGAAAAUGACGGUAC
This 450-nucleotide ribosomal RNA is filed under the name uncultured bacterium. Its description in RNAcentral is "bacterial SSU rRNA". It matches the Rfam family "Bacterial small subunit ribosomal RNA", at positions 28 to 478 of the family's 1533-position model. The record is from RNAcentral.